Molecule: long non-coding RNA, 2089 nt
Organism: Equus caballus (horse)
Lineage: Eukaryota; Metazoa; Chordata; Mammalia; Perissodactyla; Equidae
Source: Ensembl
GAUGUCUACUCUGACUUUGGAUGUCUCCAGAAUACCCCAGGAGUGUCUACUCUCACCCUUGAUGUCUCCCUAGUCCCCCACAUUACUUCUCUUACCAGAGAUGUCUCUCUAUUCCCUAGCUUUGGGGACAAGGAUGGGAUCCAAAGGAGAUUGCUGAUGACUUUGGGGACAACAAGAUAUGCAGGUGUUAGUAUCUGCUGAACCAUUUGACUUCUCUGUCUUUCUCGCCAUUUCCGAGGACCAUGGUUCCCAGUGACCCAGAUGGGACCUGCUGGGACACCCACCCCACUUGCUCUGGAGCCUGCAGACAGGAUCCAGGGAAAACUGGCAGAAGUUGGCAAAGGAUUCACCCUGAGCUGACAUCUGUUGCCAAUCUUCAUCUUUUUGCUUGAGGAAGAUUUGCCCUGAGCUAACAUCUUGUGUCAGUCUUUCUCUGUUUUGUAUGUGUGUUGCUGCCACAGCAUGGCGGCUGAUGAGUGGUGUAGGUUUGUGCCUGGGAACUGAACGCAGGCCACCGAAGCAGACUGUGCUGAACUUAACCACCAGGCCAUGGGGCUCGCCCCACAAAUUGAGUUUUUACAAGGACAGAAAUGUAGCUCUGGAAACAAUUUGAAACCUACAUAUCAUCUUUACCAAUCCUGAAACUUCCCCUAUUCAUAUCAAAAGCCUUGUAGAUAUUGCUAAAGAUCUGGACUUCGGAAACAAAAGUCCUUCUUGGAGAAACUUUCAUUGUUUCUCUGUGGCUUUGAGAUGUAAACGUUCCUCCUAGAGGGAAGGAAACCAGAGCUAUCUCUUUGAGAUGCAAACUUCAGGGAGGGAGAUUUUAUCAGGACCAAAAAAAAAGAGAAAAGAAAGGCUAUUCGGAAACUAGGCCUAUGAAAAAUAUUGUCUUCUCCACAAAUAUUAGUGAAAAGUUUAAACCGUCUGAGUAGGUAACCUUAACUUAUUCCAUCUGCCAGAAACACAAUCUGUAUCCAGCUGUUCUUUUAUAAACUAGUGUGUUUUGCAUUAUUGUAUCUGUCUCAUGGGUAAAAUUUUAAAAUGAAAGCUAUAAGAUCUCUGUUUGCAUCUGUUUAUUUCUCUCUCUCUCUAUAUAUGCAUAUUAUAGAUGUGUGAUGUUUCUACUUCUGGAUUGUAUUGCCAAAAUUUAUAAAAAGAUUUAUUUAAUUGGCUUAAAUAAGUGCUUGUAUAAAUUAAGUAUACUCUCAGAAACAUGGAAACUAAUCCAAAUGUUUUUUAAGUUCAUGUGAUUGAGGAUAAUCUUCCAUAAAUAAAAGCUAGUUUAAGUUUGUUGGUUUAAUUAAAACAGGCAUGUCUUCAGAGUUAUCAAUAUUAAAUAUAAUGUGGACAUACAACUUUUAUUCUACAUAAGUUCACUAAAAAAAUAAACUCAUUAUCGCUGUUACAGAAUUUGUCAGCAAGAAAAAGAUGAUGGUUAGCUGUUUAAUGUCUCAUGGAAUUUUCAUGAGUAAGCUAAACAUAAUGGUUAAGAACAAACAAAUAGAUGUAAGAAAAGUUUAUAAAUGAACUUUUCAAUAAUUAUGAUUUAUGGAAUGUAUACUUAAAAAUAGUUUCCAAAACCUUUUUAGUAACUUGAAACCUUAAAGUUAUACUGAAUUGAGUUAAAUGAUGGAUAUCAUUCAAUAUCUAGAUGAUUUAUGAAUAAGAAAAAAUACUGAAACAUUAAUUACUGAACACAGUUUUAUUUACUUUUGGCUUCUUAUUACAGAGGAACUAAAAAUAUUUGGGUCUAUUAGUAAACGUGUUUUGUGCCUUAUUGAAAUUUUACUCUGAGGAAGACUGUACUUCUAGAAAUUAUUAAAUGUAUUUAUCAUAGUGUAACAGACAGUCCAGAAUUGUUUACUUUGUAGUUUUAACUAGAAGUUAAAGAUUCUAAGGUUAAGAAUUCUAAUCAAUAUAUGUAAUUAAAACUACUUAGAAAUAAUAAAGAUGAAAAGAAACAAGUGUGUAUGAAAAGUAGAUAAGGAAAGUAGAAUGUGUUUUUGGAUAAGGAAAGGUGAAGGACGUGUUUUUUUGUUAAGGAAAAAAGAGAGUACUUUUAUCCUAAAGUAGAAUGACUGGUUGUUCC